This 429-nucleotide ribosomal RNA is filed under the name Plestiodon marginatus (Ryukyu five-lined skink). RNAcentral's name for it is "partial 16S ribosomal RNA". It matches the Rfam family "Bacterial large subunit ribosomal RNA", at positions 1970 to 2594 of the family's 2925-position model. Lineage: Eukaryota; Metazoa; Chordata; Lepidosauria; Squamata; Scincidae. The record is from RNAcentral.
UGUCUUCUAAAUAAAGACCAGUAUGAACGGCUAAAUGAGGACAAACCUGUCUCUUGCAACCAAUCAGUGAAACUGAUCUCCCGGUCCAAAAGCCGGAAUAGCACCAUAAGACGAGAAGACCCUGUGGAGCUUUAAACAAACUAUUAUGCACCACACCCGGUAGCAAUUAAUAGAGAGUUUUAAGUUGGGGCGACUUCGGAACCAAAAAAAACUUCCGAGCACAGAACCACCCAUUCUUACCAAGACUAACAAGUCAAAGCCCAAAACGACCCAGUAACACUGACCAACGAACCAAGUUACCCCAGGGAUAACAGCGCCAUCUUCUUCAAGAGUUCAUAUCGACAAGAAGGUUUACGACCUCGAUGUUGGAUCAGGACACCCCAAUGGUGCAGCCGCUAUUAAAGGUUCGUUUGUUCAACGAUUAAUAGU